UCGAGGAUCUUCGGCAAUGGGCGCAAGCCUGACCGAGCGACGCCGCGUGUGCGAUGAAGGCCUUCGGGUUGUAAAGCACUGUCGAGGGGGAGGAAAGCCCGCAAGGGUCUGACCUAUCCCUGGAGGAAGCACGGGCUAAGUUCGUGCCAGCAGCCGCGGUAAGACGAACCGUGCGAACGUUGUUCGGAAUCACUGGGCUUAAAGGGCGCGUAGGCGGUCGAUCAAGUCCGGGGUGAAAUCUUUCGGCUUAACCGGAAAAGUGCCUUGGAUACUGAUCGGCUGGAGGGAGGUAGGGGCAGCUGGAACUUCCGGUGGAGCGGUGAAAUGCGUUGAUAUCGGAAGGAACGCCGGUGGCGAAAGCGAGCUGCUGGACCUCUUCUGACGCUGAUGCGCGAAAGCUAGGGGAGCAAACGGGAUUAGAUACCCCCGUAGUCC
Molecule: ribosomal RNA, 435 nt
Filed under: uncultured bacterium
Lineage: Bacteria
Description: bacterial SSU rRNA
Rfam family: Bacterial small subunit ribosomal RNA
Source: RNAcentral